UCCCGCCUCCCCUACCGGUUCGCGGCAAGUCCCCCAGGCUCCCGCGCCGCCUGCGAGAGACGCACAGGGCUCCCGCGUCCGGUUGGGAGAAGGACCGGAGCGCUGGGGACAUCGCGACAGGGGCGUGGCGUAUGUAGGGUGAGUGCCCUUUUUAAAUGAUCCCUCGUGUUUCUAAUUCUUCUGCAACCAGUUUUAAUCUGCUGUUUGAACUCUCAACAAAGGAUAUUAUUUUAUAUGUGACCAAAGGUUAUUCUUCAGGGAAAUCCACUGACAAGGGAACCACCCGUCUAAAAGAUCACCGCCCGGAGCUGACUUGAAGCAGGGUGGAAUAAAUGAUGCAGGUGGCACAAAGGGACAGGAACAACAAAGAAAGGAGAAGGACGGUCCCGUGAAAGAGAAAUUGUCUCUAAUUCUUGCCUAGCCUCUUCCAUUUUCCUCAGUCUUUUCUUCUUACUAUCCAAAUCACCCUUAACUUUUCUCUUGGAAUGAUAUGCAUCCCAUAAAUACCUAUAUUUCAUUUGCUUGGCGUGAGGCCAUAAACCAGAGAAGCCAUAAAUUCCUAGAUAAGGCAACCCCCCUCCUCUGUAGGUGCAUCUUAAAGCAUAUUCCUAAGCACCAUAGCUGUCUACACUAGAACCAUACCGGAUACAGAUCAGCAACUUCAAAGAGACAUCCCAACCUGGCUCUGUGCCUUCCUUGUUUUUACCCCCCAUAUAACCCCGUCACCAGCCGGGCAGCGCGGUGCGCUACUUUGAAUGUUCUGCUGCGGUACAGGACCAGCUUCCUGUCUGUAAGUUCCUCGAUAAACUAUUCCUGCUA
This is a long non-coding RNA of Choloepus didactylus (southern two-toed sloth), 819 nucleotides long. RefSeq lists it as uncharacterized. The record is from RefSeq and is a predicted model, not a curated record. The transcript has 3 exons. Lineage: Eukaryota; Metazoa; Chordata; Mammalia; Pilosa; Megalonychidae.